CCCCAGCGAUGAGCUCGCACCUUAACGCGGUGCGGUGGCUUAAUAGCCUGAGUGGAAUUCGGGUGAAGCCAAGAAGAAC
This 79-nucleotide non-coding RNA is filed under the name Aspergillus niger CBS 513.88. The record is from RNAcentral. Lineage: Eukaryota; Fungi; Ascomycota; Eurotiomycetes; Eurotiales; Aspergillaceae.